This 492-nucleotide ribosomal RNA is filed under the name uncultured bacterium. Its description in RNAcentral is "partial 16S ribosomal RNA". It matches the Rfam family "Bacterial small subunit ribosomal RNA", at positions 29 to 507 of the family's 1533-position model. The record is from RNAcentral.
AGUGAACGCUGGCGGUAGGCCUAACACAUGCAAGUCGAACGGCAGCACAGUAAGAGCUUGCUCUUACGGGUGGCGAGUGGCGGACGGGUGAGGAAUACAUCGGAAUCUACUUUUUCGUGGGGGAUAACGUAGGGAAUCUUACGCUAAUACCGCAUACGACCUACGGGUGAAAGCAGGGGAUCUUCGGACCUUGCGCGAUUGAAUGAGCCGAUGUCGGAUUAGCUAGUUGGCGGGGUAAAGGCCCACCAAGGCGACGAUCCGUAGCUGGUCUGAGAGGAUGAUCAGCCACACUGGAACUGAGACACGGUCCAGACUCCUACGGGAGGCAGCAGUGGGGAAUAUUGGACAAUGGGCGCAAGCCUGAUCCAGCCAUACCGCGUGGGUGAAGAAGGCCUUCGGGUUGUAAAGCCCUUUUGUUGGGAAAGAAAAGCAGCAGGUUAAUACCCCGCUGUUCUGACGGUACCCAAAGAAUAAGCACCGGCUAACUUCGCG